Podarcis lilfordi (Lilford's wall lizard) is the source of this 1496-nucleotide non-coding RNA. The record is from the annotation of a GenBank genome assembly. NCBI's taxonomy places the organism in Eukaryota, Metazoa, Chordata, Lepidosauria, Squamata, Lacertidae.
AAAGGCUUUGAGUAGGAGAAGUGGCUGUUUCUGUGGCAAGGGGUGCUGGCUGACUCGCUUUGAAUCUGCGCCUUGCUGCACCCUAGAAGCAGCGGGAGGUCCCCUCUCCCACUGGAGGAGUCCUGCCUUGGAAAUCCUCUCUCCCUUCCUAGCAAGCGAUCUACUUCCUAGCUCUCCUGUUUAUUACUGUUUUUAAGCUCUGAAGUCACUGUAGUGAUAGGCAGAUGAGAUGCUAGCAAAACCGGUAGCGGAAUCUCUCCUAUCCAAAAGCACUUGGGUCAUGCAGACCUAGAAAAGUGAGGUCAAGGAGAAGACUGUGGCAGGUAAUGGAUGGGAGGAAGCUGCUCUGUGGCGUCCUCUUGCCUGAGGAAGGAUCUGCAGAGCCCUUCCUCUUCAGAGCACAGAGCCUGUGAGUUUGCAAAAUGCUCCCUCUUGUGGGGACUAAUGGGCUUUUGCAUUUUUUUUUAAACUUCGCACAUCAAGUGGUCUGCAAAAGAACCUCUUGAGAGCAGCUGCUACAUUGCAGAGUGUAGAAGCAUAUCCUAUGGUGUAUACUUAAGCUGUCACGGGGUACAGACACCCCCACACCCGAGUGUAUUCUGCAAGCGCACACUAGAGCACAACACACUCCCUUGCACUUUCUAUCACAGAUGAUCAGUAAUAGCAAACAAUUUUUCCGGUAGGGAAAUUUGUCAGCUAUUGCUCAUCUUCUGACUGAGAAGUUCCCAAAGUUCUUUAAUGCACCAUUUGAAAUCAUCUGCACAAUGACACUAAGCAUCACUUGGAAGUCCACAUCUGGAUCAAAGCAAGUUUUUUGCUCCCUGCUGUGGAAUCGGCGCACAAGUGACCCGCACUGGUGGAAUAUUCACGUAACAGCACUGCAAAAGGAUCUUCUAAACCAGCCCUUAAGAGUGAGGACCAAUGGCUUAAAUCAAACCACUAACUGGGGUGGGGAGGGAGGAAGAAGAGGAGAGUCCCUAUUUCUACUCUCAUCUCUGCUAUGAGGCAUGGAUACAUAUUUUUACAGAAAUAUGUGCGUGAAAAAACAAGACACAAUUGACUGGAUCGGAAGCACAGAGGAGCCUGCUUUGGACAUGAUUCAAGAACUGAGCCUGUACAGAGUGCGGCAACAGCUUAACUAGAUUUCAUAGAUCUGCUCAGGGCAGCUGCUUUGCAAAUGGAAUACAGUAGGUGCAGCUAGGAACUGCAAGGCUUGCCAGGAAGUAGGAAACUCCAGCCUCGCAAGUCCAUUUUUGGUCUCUCUGUAUGGUGCGUACAAUGGGAUGGAGUGGGGGUGUUUGUUUGUGGAAGGGCCAGGUUCCUGAAAAUGCUCUGCCACACGGCAUCCCUGGAGAACCUUCUGCCACCUAGCUUUCUUUAGAGACUAUACACCUGUGUUGUGAGGUGGGUUAAAAGUGUGUCUGUAAUGUACAUCUGUCACAGGCUAAAAAUUAGGCUGUUGCAUGCAAGCCCCUCAAGCUCACAAGUUUCCUGGG